CUCCAUCGAAUCGUUCAAAAUGACCCAUCGCAUAACUUUUUCUUUUCCAAAGGAUUCGGUUGAACCGUUUUUAUUUUUCAUUUUGCUAUGUAUAGCAUGGAGAUUGAUUAAAGACGAAUUGUGGACAUGGGUUAAUGACAUAAUUCGCGUUUGGCUAGUUACGAUGUACACGGUGUUGGUCUUCUCCCUGGUGUCACGUGUUAAUGUCACAUGGACCACUGAGACCACUUAGUAAUCUUUUAAGUGAAUGUAGAGCCUAUCACCGUGUUCUAAACACCCUGACGUCAUGACGUCCUAAGUCAAAGCCCUGUCGGUGGAUUUACAUGAAAAAUAGAUGAAUAAACAAUGCUAAAGGUUUUUUUUAGAUGUUGUGUUGUUG
Long non-coding RNA from Physella acuta, 379 nucleotides. RefSeq lists it as uncharacterized. Lineage: Eukaryota; Metazoa; Mollusca; Gastropoda; Physidae. The record is from RefSeq and is a predicted model, not a curated record.